This 120-nucleotide transfer RNA is filed under the name Cycas revoluta. RNAcentral describes it as "tRNA-Ser". It matches the Rfam family "tRNA". From Rfam's summary of the family: Transfer RNA (tRNA) molecules are approximately 80 nucleotides in length. Their secondary structure includes four short double-helical elements and three loops (D, anti-codon, and T loops). Further hydrogen bonds mediate the characteristic L-shaped molecular structure. tRNAs have two regions of fundamental functional importance: the anti-codon, which is responsible for specific mRNA codon recognition, and the 3' end, to which the tRNAs corresponding amino acid is attached (by aminoacyl-tRNA synthetases). tRNAs cope with the degeneracy of the genetic code in two manners: having more than one tRNA (with a specific anti-codon) for a particular amino acid; and 'wobble' base-pairing, i.e. permitting non-standard base-pairing at the 3rd anti-codon position. The record is from RNAcentral. Lineage: Eukaryota; Viridiplantae; Streptophyta; Cycadopsida; Cycadales; Cycadaceae. RNAcentral also lists the same sequence under 1 other name.
GGAAAGAUGGCCGAGCGGUUCAAGGCGUAGCAUUGGAACUGCUAUGUAGGCUUUUGUUUACCGAGGUUAAUCCCUUUCCUGAGCGUAGCGAAGGGAAGGGUUCGAAUCCCUCUCUUUCCG